AAGUCGUAACAAGGUAACCGUAGGUGAACCUGCGGUUGGAUCAUUAUUGAUACAACGGUCUUGGAGUCCUCUUCGGAGUUGAUUCCUCGACCUUACCCACCCCAUGUGCACUGUAAAUGUUUUUUGGGACUGUAGACUCUGGUCUUCUAGUCCCAACAGUAUUAAACUCUAUUUAAUUUGUCUGAAAUGAAAGCAAGAAUCGUAACAACUUUUGACAACGGAUCUCUUGGCUCUC
This 235-nucleotide unclassified non-coding RNA is filed under the name fungal sp. Its description in RNAcentral is "partial internal transcribed spacer region". The stretch from base 1 to 46 matches the Rfam family "Eukaryotic small subunit ribosomal RNA", at positions 1786 to 1831 of the family's 1831-position model. The record is from RNAcentral. Lineage: Eukaryota; Fungi.